Molecule: ribosomal RNA, 393 nt
Filed under: Escherichia coli
Lineage: Bacteria; Pseudomonadati; Pseudomonadota; Gammaproteobacteria; Enterobacterales; Enterobacteriaceae
Description: bacterial SSU rRNA
Rfam family: Bacterial small subunit ribosomal RNA
Source: RNAcentral
ACAGGUGCUGCAUGGCUGUCGUCAGCUCGUGUUGUGAAAUGUUGGGUUAAGUCCCGCAACGAGCGCAACCCUUAUCCUUUGUUGCCAGCGGUCCGGCCGGGAACUCAAAGGAGACUGCCAGUGAUAAACUGGAGGAAGGUGGGGAUGACGUCAAGUCAUCAUGGCCCUUACGACCAGGGCUACACACGUGCUACAAUGGCGCAUACAAAGAGAAGCGACCUCGCGAGAGCAAGCGGACCUCAUAAAGUGCGUCGUAGUCCGGAUUGGAGUCUGCAACUCGACUCCAUGAAGUCGGAAUCGCUAGUAAUCGUGGAUCAGAAUGCCACGGUGAAUACGUUCCCGGGCCUUGUACACACCGCCCGUCACACCAUGGGAGUGGGUUGCAAAAGAAGU